This 282-nucleotide ribosomal RNA is filed under the name Clostridioides difficile. Its description in RNAcentral is "partial 23S ribosomal RNA". It matches the Rfam family "Bacterial large subunit ribosomal RNA", at positions 940 to 1228 of the family's 2925-position model. The record is from RNAcentral. Lineage: Bacteria; Bacillati; Bacillota; Clostridia; Peptostreptococcales; Peptostreptococcaceae.
CGAAGACUAUCAAACUCCGAAUGCCGUCAUCUUAUACUUGGGAGUCAGACUGUGGGUGAUAAGAUUCAUAGUCGAAAGGGCAACAGCCCAGAUCGUCAGCUAAGGUCCCUAAAUGUAAGUUAAGUGGGAAAGGAUGUGGGAUUGCACAGACAACCAGGAUGUUGGCUUAGAAGCAGCCACUCAUUCAAAGAGUGCGUAAUAGCUCACUGGUCGAGUGAUCCUGCGCCGAAGAUUUCCGGGGCUAAAACUUACUACCGAAGCUACGGCAUCAGUAAUGAUGGG